CUGUGACACCCGGGCACUGGCGAGGGCGGGGAGUGACUGCCGAUGCGAGAGGCACGGAGUGCGGCUCCUGGCAGGCUUCGAAGUGGAAGGGACACAUGGAUGAAUCGAACAUACACCGGAAUGAGAGGGAUCCAGAGACUGUAUAGGUAUGGGACUAUACAGUUGAAGGAUAGCUUAAAGGAAUUGAUUUGGCAACUCAUAUCACCAAAUGCAUUUGCUUUUCGGUAGCCUAACCCAUAAGAACUCCAUAGUUAAGCGUGCUUAACUUGGAGAAAUUCUGGGAUGGGUGACCUUCUGGGAAGUUUUCCCGGAAAGUGUGUGAGUGAGGACAAAGCACACUGGAAAGCGUCGUGGUGAUCUGUGGGAUGGCAGUCAGCAUUCCUGCGAGUUGCCGGGACGUUACAGUACCUGAACAGUCCAUGCUCGCGAUACAUGACAAGUCAAAAGUUUAUGUUCUAAGACCCCAGGACAUAGAAGGAACGAACAACCACAUUCAAUGGAAAUCAAUAAGGCAAAAUAAUAGGCAUUAUAAUGAUAGGUAUAAACAUUGCCCC
RNAcentral lists this long non-coding RNA (554 nucleotides) under Vigna radiata. RNAcentral describes it as "long non-coding RNA (VRAD_LNC003599)". Lineage: Eukaryota; Viridiplantae; Streptophyta; Magnoliopsida; Fabales; Fabaceae. The record is from RNAcentral.